GCAAUAGCAAGUCUCGGCGCUUGGAGUACCUCACAUGUGAGGUGCAAAAGAUUUUACCUUCAGUUUUUGCUGCACGUGUGUGUGUUUUACUUGUUUUGAAACUGAGUAGCUCAGUUGAGCAAUAUAGAGCAUGAAAAAGUGUUUUAGAAAUCCCUCGACAAUUGAGUUAGCUAGACGUGUGGUUGGAAAAAAUAAAAACAGGGGACGGAACGCCGAAGGAAACCAAAAACAAAAAAAAGGCGUAACAAAUACAGAGCACAAAAAUCUAACGUAUUUGUCAAUGUUCUGGCCCCAGAAGUCGCAACACAGGAAGAAGCAAUCGGCGACGGCGAUCCCUUGAUUCUGGAUGUAAUGCCAUCCACGUCUGGAGAUGUUACAUCUCAUAAAACAGACGUGGUAGCAGAUGCAUAUGGCAACGAUGAAGAUAUGUUCGCUAGAACUCCACUUAACAGACGUGUAACUGCACGCAUGAUUACCAGUCAGCCACUGAAAAAGAAAAAAAAAUCAUAUUAGAAUGCAGGAUGUUUGGCAUUAUUUUUAUUUAUAUUAUUUUUAUCUCAUGUAUUAAUGCCAUUCAAUGAAUCUAAUAAAAUAAAAAAUGUAAUUAAAAAUA
Daphnia magna is the source of this 613-nucleotide long non-coding RNA. RefSeq lists it as uncharacterized. The record is from RefSeq and is a predicted model, not a curated record. Lineage: Eukaryota; Metazoa; Arthropoda; Branchiopoda; Diplostraca; Daphniidae. The transcript has 4 exons.